Molecule: ribosomal RNA, 253 nt
Filed under: uncultured bacterium
Lineage: Bacteria
Description: partial 16S ribosomal RNA
Rfam family: Bacterial small subunit ribosomal RNA
Source: RNAcentral
UACGUAGGGUGCGAGCGUUGUUCGGAAUCACUGGGCGUAAAGCGCACGUAGGCGGAUCUUUAAGUCAGGGGUGAAAUCCCGAGGCUCAACCUCGGAACUGCCUUUGAUACUGGGGAUCUCGAGUCCGGGAGAGGUGAGUGGAACUGCGAGUGUAGAGGUGAAAUUCGUAGAUAUUCGCAAGAACACCAGUGGCGAAGGCGGCUCACUGGCCCGGAACUGACGCUGAGGUGCGAAAGCGUGGGGAGCAAACAGG